Molecule: long non-coding RNA, 1590 nt
Organism: Ochlerotatus camptorhynchus
Lineage: Eukaryota; Metazoa; Arthropoda; Insecta; Diptera; Culicidae
Exons: 4
Source: RefSeq, a predicted model, not a curated record
GUAAUAAGGAAUUCUGAAGAGUGUGUACACAACGUUUAAUCUAAAUAUCGUGUUUAAAUUCGCGGUUUCUUUAGGCCUUUUGAUCAAUAAUUAUUUAUUUGAUUUACGUAAAUUUCCCUUUUGUGAAUUCCUUGUUAGUAGCUCAUCCUUCUCUUCUUAUGUUCCAAGUAAAUGCUAUAGAGUGGUAAACAUGCAGAACUUAAUGAUUAUUCGGCCGAAUAUUUACAAAUUUUUACAAACCUGAAUGUCACACCUGCGCAUUGGUUUUCCCGGGAAAAUGCAUACAUCGGAAUGACUAGAUUUGGAACGAUAAGUAUCUUCAUAAGGACUUUUUUCUGCGAAAAUAACUCUUCUAAUCCAAACUAAUAUCCUACUUAAGUAUUGCAUUUUGAAAUGAUGUGAUGAUUUGAGCUCUUACAUAUUAUUUAUUUUUAUUUUUAGCGUUUAUGCUUUUAAAUCGGCAGCGGAAAAUAUGCCUAACGCCUUCCCUUUCAUGUCCGACACCUCAUAUGAACUGGUGCCGACCUUCCUCAUGAUGAUACACGGAACAUAUUGUGGUAGCAGCUUUGCGUUAAACUGGUUCCCAGCAGACGACAGACGAAAGCUACGCUUAUAGAUCUGUUGACCCACAUUAAACGUCGGUAUGGAAGUCACGUUGGCAGCUAACAUCGCAGUUCUGCAAUCUGACCUGGUGUUCCGAAACAAGACGUCAAAUUUUCUGAUAUCAUCCCACUGUUUGGACAUACUCCGGAAAAUUUUCACCAUAUCCAGAUAGUAAUCUUGGAAUUUCUCCCUCGGACCCUGUCUCCGUGAACCAGCCAGACGUUCGUACUGGUAGUCAAUGUCCUCAGCCUUCAACAGACUACGCAAUGCUCUUUCCUGUUUACUACGAGAUUCGCCAUUCAUUUUUACUUCACGGAUUUCUAAUUCAUGGUCUAAUUCAUCGUCGGCCAGAUGUGCAGCAUUCAACGCGUAAUAUUGCGCCUGCAAGUGAGCUUGCUCCAUCGUUCAACGUUUGCGUACAAUUUUAGCAAAAUUAUAAAAAUUAAAAUUUAAAAAGAACUACCUAUUUACGCUUCAAGCAAUCGUGUAUGCUAAAACUUAACUUUAAAAUUUUAAUAAUUGAAAAUUCUAGUUUAAGGCUUGAAAAUAAAUCAAUCUUUUUCUCUGGUGUUUUAACAACUUCCUCCGAAACACACUCAAACGAUAAAACACUUCGCUCCGUUCUAACAAAAUCAAUUGACUCGCUUUUCAAACAAUCGUUAUUUGUUACGGUUUUAUGAACAAUCAGAACCCCUCCGCUGCAAAUAAAAUAUUUUAUAAACUGUGUCAGGUCAAGUUAUAAUUCCAACUGUGGUAAUUGUCUUGUGAAGGCCUGGAUUUUUUCCCAGAGACUUCUGUAGAAACCAGCUAUCUCAUGUGCGAUCUCCCAAGCUGGAUGUUUAAAACAGCUGCCGAUAAGGCAAUUUUAAGUUGGGCGCCAAAGUGUAAGUGCUUACUACCUCAGUUGGGAGCGAUCCUGAGAAUCCCUGACUACAAUGGCCUCAGGGUCGGCACGCUUACCGAACUAGGUUCCACGUGGCAAGGAAU